Molecule: ribosomal RNA, 305 nt
Filed under: uncultured bacterium
Lineage: Bacteria
Description: bacterial SSU rRNA
Rfam family: Bacterial small subunit ribosomal RNA
Source: RNAcentral
UUCCUACGGGGGGCAGCAGUGGGGGAUAUUGCACAAUGGGGGAAACCCUGAUGCAGCGACGCCGCGUGGGUGAAGAAGCGCCUCGGCGCGUAAAGCCCUGUCAGCAGGGACGAUAAUGACGGUACCUGAGGAGGAAGCCACGGCUAGCUACGUGCCAGCAGCCGCGGUAAUACGUAGGUGGCGAGCGUUGUCCGGAUUUACUGGGCGUAAAGGGAGCGUAGGCGGGCUUUUAAGUGAGAUGUGAAAUAAUCGGGCUCAACUUGAGUGCUGCAUUUCAAACUGGAAGUCUAGAGUGCAGGAGAGGG